UACGGAGGGUGCAAGCGUUAUCCGGAUUCACUGGGUUUAAAGGGUGCGUAGGUGGGUCUGUAAGUCCGUGGUGAAAUCUCCGAGCUUAACUUGGAAACUGCCAUGGAUACUAUAGGUCUUGAAUACUGUGGAGGUCAGCGGAAUAUGUCAUGUAGCGGUGAAAUGCUUAGAUAUGACAUAGAACACCAAUUGCGAAGGCAGCUGGCUACACAAAUAUUGACACUGAGGCACGAAAGCGUGGGGAGUCAAACAGGA
This 255-nucleotide ribosomal RNA is filed under the name uncultured bacterium. RNAcentral describes it as "partial 16S ribosomal RNA". It matches the Rfam family "Bacterial small subunit ribosomal RNA", at positions 524 to 777 of the family's 1533-position model. The record is from RNAcentral.